This 420-nucleotide ribosomal RNA is filed under the name uncultured bacterium. RNAcentral describes it as "bacterial SSU rRNA". It matches the Rfam family "Bacterial small subunit ribosomal RNA", at positions 969 to 1392 of the family's 1533-position model. The record is from RNAcentral.
CCUUACCAGGGCUUAAAUGUAGAGUGACAGGUCUAGAGAUAGAUUUUUCUUCGGACACUUUACAAGGUGCUGCAUGGUUGUCGUCAGCUCGUGCCGUGAGGUGUCAGGUUAAGUCCUAUAACGAGCGCAACCCCUAUCGUUAGUUGCCAGCAAGUAAAGUUGGGGACUCUAGCGAGACUGCCGGUGCAAACCGUGAGGAAGGUGGGGAUGACGUCAAAUCAUCACGGCCCUUACGUCCUGGGCUACACACGUGCUACAAUGGCCGGUACAAUGAGCAGCCACGUCGCAAGGCGGAGCGAAUCUAUAAAACCGGUCACAGUUCGGAUCGGGGUCUGCAACCCGACCCCGUGAAGCUGGAAUCGCUAGUAAUCGGAUAUCAGCCAUGAUCCGGUGAAUACGUUCCCGGGUCUGUACACACCG